CUGUCACUUUAAGAAACACUGAAGCCUGGUAACAGGAAGUUGUCACAUAGGAUGUAGAAUGAGGUAAUCAGGAAGUAAAAUGCACAUGCUACAGAAUUAAAUUUUGUUGUCAAGUUUAUCCAGCAACAUCUGCAAACUUCUUAUGCCUUUGGUAGCAUCGUUGUUUCACCUUCCUUACGACUUCAAUAAACCUGUGGACAAGGAGUCAUCUGUCUUCAGAGUCUUGAUGUUAAGGAGGCGUUUAACUGACUGUCAAGUCAUAUCGAGUACAUGUGAUGAGGACAGCACACAA
Molecule: long non-coding RNA, 292 nt
Organism: Cyprinodon variegatus (sheepshead minnow)
Lineage: Eukaryota; Metazoa; Chordata; Actinopteri; Cyprinodontiformes; Cyprinodontidae
Exons: 3
Source: RefSeq, a predicted model, not a curated record